UGAGGAAUAUUGGACAAUGGGCGCAAGCCUGAUCCAGCCAUGCCGCGUGCAGGACGACGGCUCUAUGGUGUGUAAACUGCUUUUGUACGGGAAGAAACCCUCCUUCGUGAGGAAGCUUGACGGUACCGUACGAAUAAGCAUCGGCUAACUCCGUGCCAGCAGCCGCGGUAAUACGGAGGAUGCAAGCGUUAUCCGGAAUCAUUGGGUUUAAAGGGUCCGUAGGCGGAUUAGUAAGUCAGUGGUGAAAUCUCAUCGCUCAACGAUGAAACUGCCAUUGGUACUGUGAGUCUUGAAUUACGUGGAAGUAGCUAGAAUAAGUAGUGUAGCGGUGAAAUGCAUAGAUAUUACAUAGAAUACCAAUUGCGAAGGCAGGUUACUAUGUCUUAAUUGACGCUGAUGGACGAAAGCGUGGGGAGCGAACA
Molecule: ribosomal RNA, 422 nt
Filed under: uncultured bacterium
Lineage: Bacteria
Description: bacterial SSU rRNA
Rfam family: Bacterial small subunit ribosomal RNA
Source: RNAcentral